RNAcentral lists this non-coding RNA (21 nucleotides) under Caenorhabditis elegans. The record is from RNAcentral. Lineage: Eukaryota; Metazoa; Nematoda; Chromadorea; Rhabditida; Rhabditidae.
UCCAUCUUUUGGAAAAAUUGC